UACGGAGGGGGCUAGCGUUGUUCGGAAUUACUGGGCGUAAAGCGCACGUAGGCGGCUUUUUAAGUCAGAGGUGAAAGCCCGGAGCUCAACUCGGAAUUGCCUUUGAGACUGGAUCGCUUGAACGUCGGAGAGGUGAGUGGAAUUCCGAGUGUAGAGGUGAAAUUCGUAGAUAUUCGGAAGAACACCAGUGGCGAAGGCGGCUCACUGGACGACUGUUGACGCUGAGGUGCGAAAGCGGUGGGGAG
Molecule: ribosomal RNA, 245 nt
Filed under: uncultured bacterium
Lineage: Bacteria
Description: partial 16S ribosomal RNA
Rfam family: Bacterial small subunit ribosomal RNA
Source: RNAcentral